GCGCCGAUGGCAUUUUGUGCACCUAUAACGUGUACGGCAACAAUUCUGCACCGCCAUCCAAUGCUGCACUUUUCUGUUAAGUUUGUCGUGAACUUAGUUGGGACAUUUGCUGCGCAUGGUGCAUUUGACCAGUACGCUAGCUACGCGGAUAGUUACAAAUAGCAUGUGCUGGACCAUGUGAACAGAGCGGCUGGACGACACUUCAGCGUCAAUCCAUGUGGUGCUCCAUCGCAACGCCUCGAAGCAACAAGCUGACAUGGCUUAUUUAACUACAGGAUGCGAAAGGCAGAAAACAUGCAGAAAACACUCCGCUUCUCAAUGGCCAUAUUGUGACUGCGUGCACGCUUCAGCCCUGUAGCCAGCCAACAAAGCAAUGACUAAAACGGCAUAGUAUUAAGCACUCAAUAUAAAACUAAAACUAAUAAACUAUGUUCCUAAGUUUUCUGCGUUUGUAACAAAUAGUGAAGCAUCGGAUGCUUGUCAAUCGUCAAUAAACUGUCAGAUACACAGCUGUGGUCAGUCCAAGUGCGACUGGGUUCCCACAAACAAGUUUUUCCCCGGUUUUUUCUUCCUGUUUUUCCGCUGAGGCGCACAAGAAUAAGUUUGCUGCCCGCAUGCGUGUUGUUGUUGUUCAAGAUUAUGAGAUGAUUAUCUACGUUAGAAUUUGCUACGAGGACGAUAAACAACUUAGGACUGUUCCAGUAGGCGAUGUAAAAGAUUUUUCACCGCGUAACCACCUAUCUGGUGAAACGGAUCGACGACGAUGGAGAGACGGAUCCUGGCACUGGGAGAUUCGGAGGAUUUCUCCCACACGGAGAAAGGAAGGACGCAUAUUCCAAAAAGGGUUUUUUUGCCAGCAUCUUUCGACUGUGCGAAUGAAACAGAGGCAACUUAUUUUGUAGAGCUCUUACGGGGGCCUUUGAUUAACACUUGAGUAAAUUACAUGUUACAACUUGUUUUCUGUUUUGCACAGAGUCCUGUCAAAGAAAACAAAAACAAAAAAUAAAACGGCAAGCUGUCUA
This is a long non-coding RNA of Rhipicephalus microplus (southern cattle tick), 1022 nucleotides long. The record is from RefSeq and is a predicted model, not a curated record. NCBI's taxonomy places the organism in Eukaryota, Metazoa, Arthropoda, Arachnida, Ixodida, Ixodidae.